RNAcentral lists this ribosomal RNA (301 nucleotides) under uncultured bacterium. RNAcentral describes it as "partial 16S ribosomal RNA". It matches the Rfam family "Bacterial small subunit ribosomal RNA", at positions 509 to 808 of the family's 1533-position model. The record is from RNAcentral.
CAGCAGCCGCGGAAUACGUAGGGUGCAAGCGUUAAUCGGAAUUACUGGGCGUAAAGCGUGCGCAGGCGGUUAUAUAAGACAGAUGUGAAAUCCCCGGGCUCAACCUGGGAACUGCAUUUGUGACUGUAUAGCUAGAGUACGGCAGAGGGGGAUGGAAUUCCGCGUGUAGCAGUGAAAUGCGUAGAUAUGCGGAGGAACACCGAUGGCGAAGGCAAUCCCCUGGGCCUGUACUGACGCUCAUGCACGAAAGCGUGGGGAGCAAACAGGAUUAGAUACCCCAGUAGUCCCUGUCUCUUAUACA